Molecule: long non-coding RNA, 416 nt
Filed under: Spirodela polyrhiza (greater duckweed)
Lineage: Eukaryota; Viridiplantae; Streptophyta; Magnoliopsida; Alismatales; Araceae
Description: long non-coding RNA (SPOL_LNC001702)
Source: RNAcentral
CUUGCCGCCCAACUCCGCGUCCUCCUCUCCUCCCCCCAUCUUCGGGGAGCAAACUGCCGGGGAAGAUCCACGUGGUCACCUUCCGCCCUGUAGCUUGGCGGCGGCGGCAGCGGCGACUGGUUGCCGCCGGAUUGGAUGAGUCCGGCCUGUAGCAGACAGACAUCAACAUCAAAUGAUGAUCGAGAUCCAGAGAAGGAAAUCCCAGGAGCUCACAGAAAUUAUGUGAAAAUCAUUGUAUCCCUGCAGAUCAGGGAAGAAAACAAAUCUCGGCUUCCCAGGAACAUCGACGCAGAUCUUGGCACGCCGGGAGCAAAAGCGCCCUUUCCCCGACUAAACCAAACUCUGACGAACAAUCAAUACCGGGGGAAAAGAAGAAGGAUCUACGCUUUCCAUUUGUGGGGAGCGAGUGAGGGGGG